UACGUAGGGGGCAAGCGUUGUCCGGAUUUAUUGGGCUUAAAGGGUGCGUAGGCGGUUUUUUAAGUCAGUGGUGAAAUCCGGCAGCUUAACUGUCGAUGUGCCAUUGAUACUGCAGAACUUGAGUACAGUCGAGGUAGGCGGAAUUGACGGUGUAGCGGUGAAAUGCUUAGAUAUCGUCAAGAACACCGAUAGCGAAGGCAGCUUACUAGACUGUAACUGACGCUGAUGCACGAAAGUGUGGGGAUCAAACAGG
RNAcentral lists this ribosomal RNA (253 nucleotides) under uncultured bacterium. RNAcentral's name for it is "partial 16S ribosomal RNA". It matches the Rfam family "Bacterial small subunit ribosomal RNA", at positions 524 to 776 of the family's 1533-position model. The record is from RNAcentral.